GGCGGAACGGUCGGAGUAACAACGUAGGUGAGUACUGCCCACUCAGACGGGACGAACGAGUUAGUAACGAUACGCGAAUUACCGGACUUAGGACGAAGUUUAAAGAUAGCUCCUGGCAUCACUGAUGGAUGAGCCUGCGGCGCAUUAGCUAGUUGGUGGGGUAAAGGCCUACCAAGGCGACGAUGCGUAGCCGACCUGAGAGGGUGAACGGCCACACUGGGACUGAGACACGGCCCAGACUCCUACGGGAGGCAGCAGUAGGGAAUCUUCGGCAAUGGGCGAAAGCCUGACCGAGCAACGCCGCGUGAAUGAAGAAGGCCUUCGGGUUGUAAAAUUCUGUUAUAAGGGAAGAAAGGUGAUAGGAGGAAAUGACUAUCAAUUGACGGUACCUUAUGAGAAAGCCACUGCUAACUACGUG
This 418-nucleotide ribosomal RNA is filed under the name uncultured Turicibacter sp. RNAcentral's name for it is "bacterial SSU rRNA". It matches the Rfam family "Bacterial small subunit ribosomal RNA", at positions 97 to 507 of the family's 1533-position model. The record is from RNAcentral. Lineage: Bacteria; Bacillati; Bacillota; Erysipelotrichia; Erysipelotrichales; Turicibacteraceae.